GCCUCUAUGGCACAGUGGUAAUGCGUCGCACUCGUAAUUCUAGGGCAAUGCGAAGAUCCGCGGUUCAAUUCCGCGUGGAGGCA
This is a transfer RNA of Pseudomassariella vexata, 83 nucleotides long. It matches the Rfam family "tRNA". From Rfam's summary of the family: Transfer RNA (tRNA) molecules are approximately 80 nucleotides in length. Their secondary structure includes four short double-helical elements and three loops (D, anti-codon, and T loops). Lineage: Eukaryota; Fungi; Ascomycota; Sordariomycetes; Amphisphaeriales; Pseudomassariaceae. The record is from Rfam.